UGCUUUUCCUCGACCGAGUCUACAAAAUGAAUUCAUUUUGAUAACGUUACCAUUGAGUAAAAAACGACGAAGUUUGAAAACAAGUUUGUUGCGGACGUACUAAAGUGCGUUUAUCAUUCCUUUUUUAGCUCACCUGGCCUAAAAGGCCAAGUGAGCUUUUCUCAUCACUUGGCGUCCGGCGUCCGUCGUCGUCGUUAACUUUUACAAAAAUCUUCUCCUCUGAAACUACUGGGCCAAAUUAAACCAAACUUGGCCACAAUCAUCAUUGGGGUAUCUAGUUUAAAAAAUGUGUCCGGUGGCCCGGCCAACCAUCCAAGAUGGUCGCCAUGGCUAAAAAUAGAACAUAGGGGUAAAAUACAGUUUUUGGCUUAUAACUCAAAAACCAAAG
RNAcentral lists this long non-coding RNA (388 nucleotides) under Mytilus galloprovincialis (Mediterranean mussel). Lineage: Eukaryota; Metazoa; Mollusca; Bivalvia; Mytilida; Mytilidae. The record is from RNAcentral.